AUGAAGAAAAAGGGGCCCUUCGAGUGGACUGAAGAGGCCGACAAGGCGUUCCAGGAUCUCAAGAGAUACCUGACCAGCCCACCGGUCAUGGUGGCUCCGCGCCCUCAAGAGCCCCUGGUGCUUUACCUCGCCGCCACUCCCUACUCCGCCAACGCAGCCUUGGUGGCAGUCAGAGAGGAGCGCCGAAUAAAAACUGCGGCAGCAGCCUGGGACAAGGCAGAACAGGGACAAGGAAGGCCCACAGAAACUGCCACCGCGGCUGAGGAGGAUCAGCCGCCGCAGAGGGGCACACCGAAGGCGGAAGAGGCCCCUCUCCCAGAUGGCCAGUCUCAGGAGGCCUCAUUGCCUCAAGAGGCGCCAUGGUCUCCGAAGGGAGCCACCAGCACUGACGCACUCCACCUCGUUGAGCACCCGGUGUACUUCGUCAGCACGGUGUUGCGGGAUGCAAGGGCACGGUACCCCAUGCCUUAG
This 471-nucleotide ribosomal RNA is filed under the name Triticum aestivum (bread wheat). RNAcentral's name for it is "partial small subunit ribosomal RNA". The record is from RNAcentral. Lineage: Eukaryota; Viridiplantae; Streptophyta; Magnoliopsida; Poales; Poaceae.